Molecule: ribosomal RNA, 252 nt
Filed under: uncultured bacterium
Lineage: Bacteria
Description: partial 16S ribosomal RNA
Rfam family: Bacterial small subunit ribosomal RNA
Source: RNAcentral
UACGGAGGAUGCGAGCGUUAUCCGGAUUUAUUGGGUUUAAAGGGUGCGUAGGCGGACUGUCAAGUCAGCGGUAAAAUUGAGAGGCUCAACCUCUUCCCGCCGUUGAAACUGGUGGUCUUGAGUGGAUGAGAAGUACGCGGAAUGCGUGGUGUAGCGGUGAAAUGCAUAGAUAUCACGCAGAACUCCGAUUGCGAAGGCAGCGUACCGGCAUCCAACUGAUACUGAGGCACGAAAGCGUGGGGAUCAAACAGG